RNAcentral lists this ribosomal RNA (253 nucleotides) under uncultured bacterium. RNAcentral's name for it is "partial 16S ribosomal RNA". It matches the Rfam family "Bacterial small subunit ribosomal RNA", at positions 524 to 776 of the family's 1533-position model. The record is from RNAcentral.
UACGUAGGCAGCGAGCGUUGUUCGGAAUUACUGGGCGUAAAGAGUGUGUAGGCGGUGCUCCCAGUCUGUUGUGAAAUCUCCCGGCUUAACUGGGAGGGUGCAGCGGAAACUAGAGUGCUAGAGGGUGGGAGAGGUAAGCGGAAUUCCUGGUGUAGCGGUGAAAUGCGUAGAUAUCUGGAGGAACGCCGGAGGCGAAAGCGGCGCACUGGAUCUCUACUGACGCUGAGGCGCGAAAGCCAGGGGAGCAAACGGG